This 360-nucleotide ribosomal RNA is filed under the name Triticum aestivum (bread wheat). RNAcentral describes it as "partial small subunit ribosomal RNA". Lineage: Eukaryota; Viridiplantae; Streptophyta; Magnoliopsida; Poales; Poaceae. The record is from RNAcentral.
AUGUUGGCCACUCACGAGGCUAUGGAAUCGGUGGAGGCCCCAACGCCCAUCUUGGAUUCUGAUCUGGUGGGGCCCGUGUCUGAGACUAGUAGGGGUGGAGAUGUGACUACGUUGCAUGCCCAUGCACGCACUAUACCCACGUCCAUGGUGGGAGAUAUUGGAGAAGAAAGCCUUAAUCUGGCAGAAACAACUAUCACUACCAACCUCUCCUCCAAAGAGCUAGCAGCCCUAACUAGCAUCAAGUCUUUUUGCUCUGGGUUCCUCAAGAAACUAGCACCGCCUCUAUUACGAGAGAUCGAAGUUGCUGCAAGCCUUGGGCAUUGCCCCGGACGAGUUGGCGAUCUCGGAGGAAUCGCUUGA